Molecule: long non-coding RNA, 264 nt
Filed under: Lathyrus oleraceus (garden pea)
Lineage: Eukaryota; Viridiplantae; Streptophyta; Magnoliopsida; Fabales; Fabaceae
Description: Pisum sativum (pea) long non-coding RNA (PSAT_LNC026616)
Source: RNAcentral
CGAAAAAAGUGAGACGUUGUAGCAACGAUUGAAGAGAAAACCGAAGUUGCAGUGAGAGAUUGAGAGAAUGAAGAAACCUAAAUCUGGAAACCUAUAGUGGUGAUGAGAGAGUGAAGAAACUUAAACGGAUCCUCGCUAUAUCAAUACAUUUUCUUGUUGAUUAUCGAUUUAGGGCUUAUGAUUAUAGCCGUGGUGAGAGUGGUGAUGACAAUGAUUUAGGGUUUAUUGAUUCAUGGUUAUGAAAACAAGAAGGUAGAGAGAGAC